AAAAAAAAAAAGUGGAUGGAUUUAUGGUCAGAGUGAAUAGGCUUGUCUAAAUAGAUGUGGUUUGAGGCUGGAUUUGAAAUGUGUUAAUGAGUCUAUGUUACGAAGGUCAGCUGGGAGUGUGUUCCAGAGCUGGGGAGCAGAGCGACUGAAGGCUCUGCUCCCCAUAGUGACGAGGUGGGCGGGGGGGACAGUGAGGAGGAGAGAGGAAGAAGAACGAAGAGAGCGGACAGGUGUGGCAAUGUGGAUGAGGUCAGAUAGGUAUGGAGGGGCAAGGUUGUGGAUAACUUUAAAAGUAAGGAGCAGGAUUUUAUAUUGAAUGCGGUGUAUAAUGGGGAGCCAGUAGAGAUGUUGGAGGACAGGUGUAAUAUGGUGUAUGGAUGGUGUGAGUGUGAUUAUGCGAGCAGCUGAAUUUUGGACCAGCUGAAGCUUAUGGAGGGAAACGAACAGAUU
Long non-coding RNA from Hippocampus comes (tiger tail seahorse), 450 nucleotides. RefSeq lists it as uncharacterized. The record is from RefSeq and is a predicted model, not a curated record. The transcript has 3 exons. Lineage: Eukaryota; Metazoa; Chordata; Actinopteri; Syngnathiformes; Syngnathidae.